RNAcentral lists this ribosomal RNA (300 nucleotides) under bacterium TCBS-DC4. RNAcentral's name for it is "bacterial SSU rRNA". It matches the Rfam family "Bacterial small subunit ribosomal RNA", at positions 41 to 327 of the family's 1533-position model. The record is from RNAcentral.
GGCAGGCCUAACACAUGCAAGUCGAGCGGCAGCGACAUAAACAAUCCUUCGGGUGCGUUUAUGGGCGGCGAGCGGCGGACGGGUGAGUAAUGCUUGGGGAUCUGCCCGGUUGUGGGGGACAACAGUUGGAAACGACUGCUAAUACCGCAUAAUCCCUUCGGGGCAAAGUAGGGGACCUUCGGGCCUUACGCGAUCGGAUGAACCCAAGUGAGAUUAGCUAGUUGGUGGGGUAAUGGCUCACCAAGGCGACGAUCCCUAGCUGGUCUGAGAGGAUGAUCAGCCACACUGGAACUGAGACAC